This 836-nucleotide long non-coding RNA is filed under the name Homo sapiens (human). RNAcentral describes it as "long non-coding RNA NONHSAT220215.1". Lineage: Eukaryota; Metazoa; Chordata; Mammalia; Primates; Hominidae. The record is from RNAcentral.
GCCGGCUCCGCGGCGAUGGCGCUCUAUAACCCCUACCGCCACGGGAGCGUCCCCGGAUUUCGACAUCCACCCUCGACCUGGGCAAGCUCCAGAGCCUGCCGGAAGGCUCCCUCGGUCGCGAGUAUCUCCGUUUCCUGGAUGUGAACGGGAGAUCGUGGUGAAAUGGUUUGAGGCUGUCCAGACUGGCCUGCCCAUGUGCAUCCUGGGUGCAUUCUUUGGACCGAUCCGACUUGGCGCUCAGAGCCUGCAAGUGCUGGUCUCGGAGUUGAUCCCAUGGGCCGUUCAGAACGGGCGCAGAGCCCCAUGUGUCCUCAACCUGUACUAUGAGCGGCGCUGGGAGCAGUCCCUGAGGGCUCUGCGGGAGGAGCUGGGCAUUACAGCACCACCCAUGCACGUCCAGGGCUUGGCCUGAGCUCCUGAGCCAGCGGGGCCUGGCCUACCUCCCCCAUCCCCUGCUUCCCUUGGAGGCAGAGGGCUCCCUUGACUACCUUUGUUCCUCUUCUUUGAACACUGACCCUUGGACAACAUUUAUCAUAAUUUGUCAUAACCACUGCUGAGUGGCCUUGAGGACGAACCCCGCAGGGAGCAAGCAGUACAGUGGCAUUCCCAGGGGGACCAGCAGCUACCCAAGGAGAACCAUGCAUGAACAGUAUCAGUCGUCUGGGCUCAUGCUGGGAUGUCGCAGUGCUCCUGUUGCAACUCCUCCCAGCCAGCCAGGUUUGCUGGGGGCCAGGCUGGGUGUCCUCACAGGAGUGAGGGCUACACCCAAUUCCAAAAGCCUGAGAAGAGAGAAGUGGAGGGGGAGGCGAGUGUGUGAAUAAAGGCUCCCAUCAGGU